AACGAACGCUGGCGGCGUGCCUAACACAUGCAAGUCGAACGAGAAAGUCCCCUUCGGGGGGCGAGUAAAGUGGCGCAAGGGUGAGUAACACGUGAAUAAUCUACCACCGAAUCUGGGAUAACUCAGCGAAAGUUGGGCUAAUACCAGAUAAGACCACGUCUCUCAUGAGAUGCGGGAAAAGGAGCCUCAACCUCCGUUUGGUGAUGAGUUCGCGGACCAUUAGCUAGUUGGUGAGAUAAAAGCUCACCAAGGCGACGAUGGAUAGCCGGCCUGAGAGGGUGUACGGCCACACUGGAACUUAGACACGGUCCAGACUCCUACGGGAGGCAGCAGUGAGGAAUAUUGCGCAAUGGGCGAAAGCCUGACGCAGCGACGCCGCGUGAAGGAUGAAGGUCUUCGGAUUGUAAACUCCUUUUGUAGGGGAAAAUAAUGAUGGUACCCUAUGAAUAAGCCACGGCUAACUCUGUG
RNAcentral lists this ribosomal RNA (468 nucleotides) under uncultured bacterium. RNAcentral's name for it is "bacterial SSU rRNA". It matches the Rfam family "Bacterial small subunit ribosomal RNA", at positions 29 to 507 of the family's 1533-position model. The record is from RNAcentral.